UCGACUGCAUGAAGUCGGAAUCGCUAGUAAUCGCGGAUCAGCAUGCCGCGGUGAAUACGUUCCCGGGCCUUGUACACACCGCCCGUCACACCAUGAGAGUCGGGAACACCCGAAGUCCGUAGCCUAACCGCAAGGAGGGCGCGGCCGAAGGUGGGUUCGAUAAUUGGGGUGAAGUCGUAACAAGGUAAC
This 189-nucleotide ribosomal RNA is filed under the name uncultured bacterium. RNAcentral's name for it is "partial 16S ribosomal RNA". It matches the Rfam family "Bacterial small subunit ribosomal RNA", at positions 1312 to 1500 of the family's 1533-position model. The record is from RNAcentral.